Molecule: long non-coding RNA, 485 nt
Filed under: Canis lupus familiaris (dog)
Lineage: Eukaryota; Metazoa; Chordata; Mammalia; Carnivora; Canidae
Description: lncRNA (ENSCAFG00000052825.1, ENSCAFG00805003187.1, ENSCAFG00845007402.1)
Source: RNAcentral
UCAGAGGAAGGUCUCAGACUUGCUCCCGCAAUUCUUCAUUCUUGCUCAGAGUUGUAUAGACCGUACUUCUCAGACCUAGGGAUCCUGUUAACAUGAAGAUUCUUGUCUGACUUUCAGGUUAUAUCCAAAGUUAUAUCAGAAGUUAAAAAUAAUCAUAUGGUCUGACCACCUGGAUCACACAUGGAAAGUAAUUAGAAAGGGAAGAACUUCAUCUCUGAUAUUAUACUGGAUCAACUGAAUCACAAUAGAAGCUACUACGUUAUUGGAGACAGUCAGCAAGUUGCACUGUUUCUCUAGAACAAUCAUACCUGAAGAAAUAUGUAUAAACCAGCAUACAUUCACCAAUAGAUAGGAAUUCUUCAAUUUGGCUGUGUUACUGAGCAAUGAGAUUGUGUUUCAGAAAAUGUUUUGAGCUGCUUACAAGACCAAUUCUACUACCUACUUACUCAUGCAAAUUUCACAAUAUAUCCAUGAGACAGUAUUGA